UGGGGAAUUUUGGACAAUGGGCGCAAGCCUGAUCCAGCCAUGCCGCGUGUGGGAAGAAGGCCUUCGGGUUGUAAACCACUUUUGUCAGGGAAGAAACGGCUCUUACUAAUAUUAGGAGCUAAUGACGGUACCUGAAGAAUAAGCACCGGCUAACUACGUGCCAGCAGCCGCGGUAAUACGUAGGGUGCGAGCGUUAAUCGGAAUUACUGGGCGUAAAGCGUGCGCAGGCGGUCUUGUAAGACAGUCGUGAAAGCCCCGGGCUUAACCUGGGAACUGCGAUUGUGACUGCAAGGCUAGAGUGUGUCAGAGGGGGGUGGAAUUCCACGUGUAGCAGUGAAAUGCGUAGAUAUGCGGAGGAACACCGAUGGCGAAGGCAAUCCCCUGGGCCUGUACUGACGCUCAUGCACGAAAGCGUGGGGAGCAAACA
Molecule: ribosomal RNA, 427 nt
Filed under: uncultured bacterium
Lineage: Bacteria
Description: bacterial SSU rRNA
Rfam family: Bacterial small subunit ribosomal RNA
Source: RNAcentral